GGAGGAUGCAGCUCAGUGGUAGAGUGAAUGCCUAGCAUGCACAAGGUCCUGGGUUCAAUCCCCAGUACCUCUA
Camelus ferus (Wild Bactrian camel) is the source of this 73-nucleotide non-coding RNA. The record is from Rfam. Lineage: Eukaryota; Metazoa; Chordata; Mammalia; Artiodactyla; Camelidae.